This 460-nucleotide ribosomal RNA is filed under the name uncultured bacterium. RNAcentral's name for it is "partial 16S ribosomal RNA". It matches the Rfam family "Bacterial small subunit ribosomal RNA", at positions 338 to 795 of the family's 1533-position model. The record is from RNAcentral.
CCUACGGGAGGCAGCAGUGAGGAAUAUUGGUCAAUGGGCUUACGCCUGAACCAGCCAAGUCGCGUGAGGGAAGACUGCCCUAUGGGUUGUAAACCUCUUUUGUCAGGGAGCAACGCCGGCUACGUGUAGCCGGACUGAGAGUACCUGAAGAAAAAGCAUCGGCUAACUCCGUGCCAGCAGCCGCGGUAAUACGGAGGAUGCGAGCGUUAUCCGGAUUUAUUGGGUUUAAAGGGUGCGUAGGCGGAAUGCCAAGUCAGCGGUAAAAUCGCGGGGCUCAACCUCGCUCCGCCGUUGAAACUGGCGUUCUUGAGUGGGCGAGAAGUAUGCGGAAUGCGUGGUGUAGCGGUGAAAUGCUUAGAUAUCACGAAGAACUCCGAUUGCGAAGGCAGUACACUGGACUGCAACUGACACUGAGGCUCGAAAGUGUGGGUAUCGAACAGGAUUAGAUACCCGAGUAGUC